This 83-nucleotide transfer RNA is filed under the name Mycobacterium bourgelatii. RNAcentral describes it as "tRNA-Val". The record is from RNAcentral. Lineage: Bacteria; Bacillati; Actinomycetota; Actinomycetes; Mycobacteriales; Mycobacteriaceae.
CUGAAGUUGCCCUGGAUGAAGGCGCCGGUGUUGACAUCGCCGGUGUUGGCGAUACCGGUGUUUGAGUCGCCGGUGUUGGACCA